RNAcentral lists this ribosomal RNA (503 nucleotides) under uncultured bacterium. Its description in RNAcentral is "partial 16S ribosomal RNA". It matches the Rfam family "Bacterial small subunit ribosomal RNA", at positions 30 to 523 of the family's 1533-position model. The record is from RNAcentral.
AUUGAACGCUGGCGGCAGGCUUAACACAUGCAAGUCGAGCGGGGUGAUGGUGCUUGCACUAUCACUUAGCGGCGGACGGGUGAGUAAUGCUUAGGAAUCUGCCUAUUAGUGGGGGACAACAUCUCGAAAGGGAUGCUAAUACCGCAUACGUCCUACGGGAGAAAGCAGGGGAUCACUUGUGACCUUGCGCUAAUAGAUGAGCCUAAGUCGGAUUAGCUAGUUGGUGGGGUAAAGGCCUACCAAGGCGACGAUCUGUAGCGGGUCUGAGAGGAUGAUCCGCAACACUGGGACUGAGACACGGCCCAGACUCCUACGGGAGGUAGCGGUGGGGAAUAUUGUAAAAUGGGGGGAACCCUGAUCCAGCCAGGCCGCGUGGGUGAAGAAGGCCUUAUGGUUGUAAAGCACUUUAAGCGAGGAGUAGGCUCUUUUGGUUAAUACCCAAGAUGAGUGGACGUUACUCGCAGAAUAAGCACCGGCUAACUCUGUGCCAGCAGCCGCCGUAA